RNAcentral lists this ribosomal RNA (690 nucleotides) under uncultured Pseudomonadota bacterium. RNAcentral's name for it is "bacterial SSU rRNA". It matches the Rfam family "Bacterial small subunit ribosomal RNA", at positions 35 to 699 of the family's 1533-position model. Lineage: Bacteria; Pseudomonadati; Pseudomonadota. The record is from RNAcentral.
GUUGGCGGCGUGCUUAACACAUGCAAGUCGAACGAGAACGUCCCGGCUUGCCGGGAUUAGUAAAGUGGCGCACGGGUGAGUAACACGUGAGUAAUUUCCCUCUAAGCUUGGGAUAACAUUGCGAAAGCAGUGCUAAUACCAAAUAAGACCACGGUAUCAUAUGAUACAGUGGGAAAAGGUGGCCUCUGAAUAUGCUAUCACUUGGAGAUAAGCUCGCGGACCAUUAGCUUGUUGGUAGGGUAACGGCCUACCAAGGCGAAGAUGGUUAGCUGGUCUGAGAGGAUGAUCAGCCACACUGGAACUGAGACACGGUCCAGACUCCUACGGGAGGCAGCAGUGGGGAAUAUUGCGCAAUGGGGGAAACCCUGACGCAGUGACGCCGUGUGAGUGAUGAAGGUCUCCGGAUCGUAAAGCUCUGUCAGAUGGGAAGAAUAAAGGCAGGGAAAAUAUUUCUGCCUGAUGACGGUACCAUCAGAGGAAGCACCGGCUAACUCCGUGCCAGCAGCCGCGGUAAUACGGAGGGUGCAAACGUUGUUCGGAAUUACUGGGCGUAAAGCGCAUGUAGGCGGAUAUGUAGGUCAGAUGUGAAAGCCCUUGGCUCAACCAAGGAAGUGCAUCUGAAACCACAUAUCUUGAGUAUGACAGAGGGAAGUGGAAUUCCCAGUGUAGAGGUGAAAUUCAUAGAUAUUG